RNAcentral lists this long non-coding RNA (5188 nucleotides) under Zalophus californianus (California sea lion). RNAcentral describes it as "lncRNA (ENSZCAG00015025190.1)". Lineage: Eukaryota; Metazoa; Chordata; Mammalia; Carnivora; Otariidae. The record is from RNAcentral.
GUAUGCACCUGGGGAACAUGCAUCACUUUAAAGAACACAAAGUGUUUAAAGGGGAGAGAGUGGUUCUGUCAGCAGAGGGGCUGUGUGCACUAGCCGGUGUGCAGUCUUGAGCUCUUGGUUCUGUUUUGGGGAAUAGAUUGGGGAAAAGAUGAGUACUUAGAUCUGGGGUCUGGUACCAACAAGACAGACCUCAUCUCCUUCCCAUCGCCACAGCUGGUUGAUGAAGUCCCCUCUCUAAACUCUACGCCUUGGCAAGCCCCUUGCAAGCAGGACCCAGCGCCCAGCCUAUUUCUAGGUAUUAGCACGAUGAGCACUUGAGCCAGCAGCACCCCAGUCCUUCCCUGUGACCACAGAGUCUGGCACAUGGUCAUCACCUCGAGGAGAGGGCGAGGGAGGCCGCCCCCCCCAUCAUGCCCUGAGUUCAGGGUGGCGUCCCCCGACCACACAGCUCCCACCUGCCUUCGGUGUUCACUGAGGCAGAACACUGGGGGGACAUCUCCAGAUGACCCUCAGGAAGAAGGACGGGGACCCCGGGCUCACCCCUGCAGCUGGGUCUUUAUCGCACGGUAAGAUGCCCCAGGCUCAGAGAACAGCCUUCCCAAGGGGUGGGGGUCUCUGCGACCAACCCUGGGCGCCGGGCUGUCGGGCCCCUGGCUCACCCGCAGCGCGGCCUCCGGGUCCCCGGCCAGCAGGUGCACGCAGCCCACGUUGAAGCACAUCCUGGCGGGCGGCUCGGGGUCGCCCGAGAAGAGGCGGAGGGCGCAGCCCCAGUCCCCGCGCGCCACAGCCUGCACGCCCCGGUGCCAGUCGCGCACCAGGUCUCCCCGAGAGGGCAUGGCGGCGUGGACACCCGCCAGACUGCGGCGCGAGUCUGGCUUCCGGGCCGGAGCGCGGCGGGCGAGGCCGGCGGCGGCGGGGGUCCCGUGAGGGAUCCGGCGGGACGACUGGGGGCGAGGGCCGCGGAGCAGGAGCUUCAGGGUCCGGAGGCCGGCGUGGGGAUGGGGGGGCCCCCCUUAGAUGCCGGCACCGGGGUCCAGACCGAAGGGGCGCUUGGCCCUCGGAGCGCGCGGAGUCCGCCAGCCGCAGGUGCGCCACGCCUCCUGCUGCCCACGGCGCCCCCUGGCGGCCGGGCGACCCCGCCCCUCCCCGAGCCGGCCCCCGCUCCGUCCACACGGCCCCGCCCCCCACAGGGGCCGCCCCUCUACAUCCGACCCCGCCCCUCCCCGCGCUUCUGCCGCGCCCAUCCCGACUUCCGCCGGGAGCUCCCGGAGCUCGCGUUUCCCGGCUCGCCUCGCCCCGGGCCGUGUGGCUCUCGGUGCUCCAGGGAAAGCCGUCCGGGCCCGCCGCUGCGGCGGCCGGGCCAGGGUUCCGGGCGGGCCCCGCUGGCCCAGGUGUUGAGGCAUCUGGAGUGGCCGAUCUAAAGCCGGCCUUCGCAGACGGGUGACCUGCUGUCCUGAGGGAGGCCUCCCAGGCUCCUGCCACGGUCACCCUCCUCCACGUCGGUAUUCCGGGGAGGCCCGCGAAGACUGUGUGGAUCACACCGUUCCUACAUCGGUGGAAGAGUCCAGAAAAGGGAACCAUUUCCUAAGGUAAGAACGUGCCUCAGAUAGCGGUCAGCGUAGUGCUGGAACUUAUUUUUAAAGGAAUGCAAUAAUCGUGGUUAGUUCUGGAGCACAGGUGUCAAAGAAAUGGGCAGGAAUUGGGUUUAGCCCAAUACAAAAAGUUAGGUUUUUUCCCCCUUUCUAAACAAUGGGAACUUUCCAAGAAAAAAUAAAAUAAAAAUAAGAUUUUUCUCUCAGGAAAUAAAAAUAGCCUUGGUGUGAUCGAAAUGCUUGGUGUUGGAGACCAGCUUCCUGAGACCUGGCCCCAACCGGGGCUGCAUCUAAUUCAGGGUCACGGAGCCCCUCCGUGGAGGGCUCACUGAGGAGGCGCCCACCGUCGGCCAUGUCUCUGAAACCCACCACUUCAGCCUUUCAUAGGCUCCUGACCGUUGACAUGGGCACUGAGGACCUCACCUUCUGCCACCCCAGGAAAUCUUGAAGAGGAAAACCAGAAGGACAUGGAAGGCAGCCAUGCAGACAGGAAGCGGCUCAGGAUUCAUCUCCUUUAAGGUUCAGAGUUGAGACUGUAAAACUGGGAAAAUUUUAGCGCACUCCUGCAGGACUUCAUGGUGGUCAAGGGCUUCAUCCUCUGGGCAAAUGGGAGUCCUGAUCCAUGGGCACUGGAGCGGCACCACCCAGUCUGCCUUUGCAGACCUAAGCCAGCCCCUCUUACUUGGCCUUGCAGUUUCAAACGGAGGAACGUGUUGCCACUGCUCUCUGAGCUCAUUUCUACAUGCGGUCCCUUCCGAGCAGGUGUCUGUCUGGGCCAGGAUUGGAAAUUCAGAUACAGGACAGUCCCACAGCUGUCUGGCCCUGCACCGUGGCCGCUCCGAGCUCUCUCUGCAGCGUGUGCUGCUGUCUGCAGGGGAAAGUGGGAAGGGGGGCCAGGCUUAGAACCUUAGAGCAGACCCACAGCAUCAUGUUACGUCCGAUGAAUCUAAUGAAACAGCCAGUGCAAAAGGGAAGAGUGUACGUUGCUGAAAUGAAUGAAUGAGCAAGUGGGUGACACCUUGAAACAUGCAGGGGUGAGUCCUGGAUGCUAAGGGGAUUCCGGAGGGAAAUAACAGGUCAUUUACUCUACUGCCAGACCAGCACAACAGCUCUGGAGGUCAGAAGGAAGCAGAAUAUCUACAAGGAGCACACAAAUCCAAGGAAGCCUGGAUUUAGCCAAAAAGGAAGGAAAUCGUGCCCAAGAAAGUAAAAAACAAAUGGAAGAAACCAAAAGGAGGAAGAGGAAGUUAAUAAAGAGAAAAGCUUAAUGAAUUAGGUAAUUAAAUCAGGAAGUAUAAAAUUAGUAACACCAAAAACUAGUUCUUAAAAAGAUCAGUGAAAUAAACUUCUGACAAGACUAAGGAAAAACAAGAGAGAAGUAAACAACGUUCAGUGUUAAAGAGCAGAGAACCACACAUUUGCCACGUCCACACCGAUACUGUGGUCAUAAAUGGGAAAACCUCCUCAAGAAAUCGGAUGACUUCCUGGCAAUCCAAUCUAUCUGAACAGACCUGAGAAGAAACAGGGAACUGGAGCAGGCCGUGAGCAUCAGAGACCCAACAGGCUGUAGGGUUCCAGCCAUGCAGUGGGUGGGCUGCUCCCAGCCCUGCUUGGGCCCACGGCCCGGCCAGCGCUCCGGCUCCAACACGGGCCCCCAGCCCCAGCAGAACCUUGAGACAAUGCAGCCCCUGCCUCGUUCUGGCUGCGACCCCCAGAGACCCUGGGCAGGACCGCACGGUCAAGCCGCUUCCAGUUCCUGACCCCUGACCCUGCACAGGACAAUAAAAGAUUGUUCUGCUCUAGGCCACUGAGUUUGGGGCCACAUUCGUUUGGCAGCAGUACGUAACUGAUGAGAGGUCAAUGCGGUCAGGCUUGAUCACGAGGGCAGAGCUGGAGCCGUGGGGAGCUCUGGGGAGACCGCUGUACAGCAGAGUGCCUGGUGUCCAGUGGGAAGGGGUCGCUUCCCAUGUGGGGCUCACGGAGCAGGCGGCCCCAUCUCCUUUCCGAAGCUGAGGUUUCCUCAUAGCUUAUUUUAACAUCUUUUAAAAAGAUUUUUAAAAUUCCUUUAUUUGAGAGAGAAAGGGCCUGAGCACAAGUGGAAGGGACAGAGGGAGAGAGAAGCUCACGUCGACUGUGUGCUCAGCGCAGAGCCCCACGUGGGGCUUGGUCCCACCACCCGGAGGUCACGACCUGAGCUGAAGCCACAAGUCCCACGCUCAACUGACUGCGCCACCCAGGCGCCCCAAUUUUAACUUUUAAAAUAUCAUUUGUGAUUUUCUUUUCUUCGUGAAUUCUAAGUGGAGUGUGUUCCUUGUAUAAUAUUUAGCAAAUACAAAAAAAUAAAAUGGGAAGUAGAAGUGGUGGUCUGCACCCCCUGCCGCCCCCCCGGUGCCUGUGUGUCCUCUGUGUCCCGCCCAGUGCUGGCGGGGCUGGGGGUGCCCUGUGGCCCACACAGUAGCAGGACUGCUUUCGUUAAACGCAACUUUAUGCCACAUUGUGAGGUCCUUUUUCUCCAGGACAUUAUGUUGUUUUUAAGUAGCCAUGCGUCAUUCACAUGAUUUCUGCCCCAUUUCUGGAUAGUGGGAGGCCCUCACAAGAGCGGGCAAGGAGCUGGAAAGCCCAGCUGAACGGUGAGGCCAGUGACUUCUGCCCUCCGCCCCCUCCCCUGCUGCAGCCCGGACCCUGUGGGAAAGGAUCCUGGAGGCAGGACUCAGGAGGGGCUGUCCUGCCUGAGCUGUGAUGCAGGGCCGAAGCCGACUAGCUUAACCAGAGUGACCCUUGACAGCGUGCACACAGUGGCGAGUGUGCAGAAAACCACCACUGCCAGCCCGGAAACCCCCGCAGCUGCUCCAGAGAGGCCCACCCCCCCACGCGGUAUCUCUGGAAAGUUACUUUCUUGUGUUUUAGAUUGGUGAUCUUAAUUUUUAAAGAAAGGAACAAGUCUUAAGUUAAAUGAGUAAGUUAAAAAUCACUACCACUGGGCCGGAUAGAAUAACAGGGACAGCCACCAACAGGUCAGUGUUGGCAAGGAUGUGCGGAAAUCGGGACCUUCGUGCGCUGUGGCGGGAUGCAGUGUGGCGGCUCCCCGGCUCGGCUUGGCCCAGCUCAGCCCAUUCCCCGGAGAAAAGGCGGCAUGUGUCCACAGAAACACCUGUGUGCAACUGUCCACAGCGGCCACAAGGUGGAAAUAACCCAGAUGGGUGUGGCCCAUUUGUACCACGGAACAUUGUUCAGCCACGGAAAGAAUAGGUGCUAGCAGGUGCUACAACGUGGACGGAGUGUGAAAACAACAUGCUGGGUAAGAGAAGCCGGAGGCAGACCACAUAUUGUAGGAUUCCAUGUGCGUGAAUGUCUACCACAGGCGAGCCCCAAGGGACGAAGUGGGUUUGUGGUUGCCAAAGGGGGUGGGGAGCAACAGCUAACGGGUACGAGUCAUCUUGGGGUGAUGGACGUGUACUGGAAUUAGGCAGUGGUGAUGUUUUCUCAUACCUAAAUAUACUAAAACACUGAGUUGUGCACUUUAAAAGGGUAGAUUUUAUGGUGUGUGUAUUAUAUCAAUAAAGCUUUAAAAAAAAUCACUGAGAUGUGUGCCCAGA